ACCAUCCUUUUCUUGGGUUUGCACUACUGUCCAAUGAGUGCAUAGUGUGGGCAGUACUGCUAAUGCCUAAACAACACACUCACAUCAACUAGAGCUCUGCUUUAUGCUGGUGCAAUUUUUGGAAAA
RNAcentral lists this non-coding RNA (126 nucleotides) under Saimiri boliviensis boliviensis (Bolivian squirrel monkey). RNAcentral's name for it is "U4atac minor spliceosomal RNA (ENSSBOG00000010330.1)". It matches the Rfam family "U4atac minor spliceosomal RNA". Rfam says of the family: U4atac is an essential component of the minor U12-type spliceosome complex which is required for removal of the rarer class of eukaryotic introns (AT-AC, U12-type). The record is from Rfam by way of RNAcentral. Lineage: Eukaryota; Metazoa; Chordata; Mammalia; Primates; Cebidae.